Molecule: long non-coding RNA, 606 nt
Filed under: Trifolium pratense (red clover)
Lineage: Eukaryota; Viridiplantae; Streptophyta; Magnoliopsida; Fabales; Fabaceae
Description: long non-coding RNA (TPRA_LNC001787)
Source: RNAcentral
UUUAUUUGCCUUGCAUCCAUAUCUUAUAUUGCCAUUUCUUCGUCUCCAAUCCCAUACCCUUCUUUGAGGUUCUUCAUUUUUUUUUUUUAUAAUCUUUUAUGUGGUUUGUUCUUAAUUAUUUUGUUCCAAGAUGUCUUAAAUUUAUAUGUUUGUGUGUAUUAUUUCUAUAUCCUCAUUAUUUUUACACUAUCUAAACUAUAUGCAGUAGUUCUAUUCAGAUGCAAUUUCAAUUUUCAUUCAAUUGGGAAAUAACGGUGACAACCUCAAUGGCUAGUGGUAGAAAUGUUCUGGUAUUUAUUUUAAUUGUUUUUUUUACUAAUCGUUAAUGUUAAUUUUGCUCAUAUAUAUUUGAGUAGAUACUAAUAAAACUUUUUUGUUGCUUUCUUAUUAUAGAAUUUUCCAAGGGAAUACUCCAGAAAUUGUUUAUCAAACUCUGAAUCUACCAUUCAUCUUUUGGACAUUGUUACUGGAAAAGUGUUUAAGUCUCCGAUCAUUACGUCCACCAAAAAUAAUGAAGACAAGUAUGUUUAUUCUUGCUGGAAGAAGUUUGUGAAAGAAAACAAAUUGAAGUUCAAAGAUAGGGUUAUUUUCAAUGCUCCGGAUGGG